GCCUCGGUAGCUCAGCCUGGUAGAGCACUGCCUUGGUAAGGCAGGGGUCCCGGGAUCAAAUCCCGGCCGAGGCU
This 74-nucleotide transfer RNA is filed under the name Nitrososphaerota archaeon. RNAcentral's name for it is "tRNA-Thr". It matches the Rfam family "tRNA". From Rfam's summary of the family: Transfer RNA (tRNA) molecules are approximately 80 nucleotides in length. Their secondary structure includes four short double-helical elements and three loops (D, anti-codon, and T loops). Further hydrogen bonds mediate the characteristic L-shaped molecular structure. tRNAs have two regions of fundamental functional importance: the anti-codon, which is responsible for specific mRNA codon recognition, and the 3' end, to which the tRNAs corresponding amino acid is attached (by aminoacyl-tRNA synthetases). tRNAs cope with the degeneracy of the genetic code in two manners: having more than one tRNA (with a specific anti-codon) for a particular amino acid; and 'wobble' base-pairing, i.e. permitting non-standard base-pairing at the 3rd anti-codon position. Lineage: Archaea; Thermoproteati; Nitrososphaerota. The record is from RNAcentral. RNAcentral also lists the same sequence under 1 other name.